GGAGGUAGUGACAAUAAAUCACAAUGCGGGACUAGUAGUCUUGCAAUUGGAUUGAGAACAAUGUACAACUCUUAUCGAUAAGCCAUUGGAGGGCAAGUCUGGUGCCAGCAGCCGCGGUAAUUCCAGCUCCAAUAGCGUAUAUUAACGUUGUUGCAGUUAAAAAGCUCGUAGUUGAAGUGUGGGUGAUCGCUGUUGUGAGACUUCGGUCUCUCGACAGUAAGUCACCCCCUUCCAGUAUCCAGUAGUGGGUAUUCAGUUACUUACUAUUGUGUGUUGGUCGUUUACUGUGAGAAAAUUAGAGUGUUCAAAGCAGGCGUUUGCUUGAAUAGAUUAGCAUGGAAUAAUAAUUGAAGGCUUUCGUGUUCGAUUUGAUUGGUUUGUUCAUGGAAGCAAGGUUAAAAGGAACAGUUGGGGGUAUUCAUAUUCACUAGUUAGAGGUGAAAUUCUCGGAUUUAUGGAAGAUGAACAAGUGCGAAAGCA
Molecule: ribosomal RNA, 480 nt
Filed under: Blastocystis sp.
Lineage: Eukaryota; Bigyra; Opalinata; Blastocystidae
Description: SSU rRNA
Rfam family: Eukaryotic small subunit ribosomal RNA
Source: RNAcentral